CCUGCCUUGGAGCCAACUGAAUGUGGACUGAAACCUCCAAAAACUGUAAGAAAUAAACCUUUCCUUUCCCAACUUGGGCAUCAGGUAUUUUGUCUCAGCAACGAGCAUAAAGUAACUAAGACAACAUGAGAACAUUUGCCUUGAAAGUAACAGAAUAUGCCUGCAGAAAUACACCAAAUGGAGAACUGAGGAGUCCAACCAGCACCGAAAGACCAUAGGGAAGGCCAACAAUAACAACUUCCUUACCUCCAAAGAAGUACUUCUCGCCAGUUUUCACUUGCAGAGGACUGUUCGUUCGGACCGCUGAUGCUUCAUCUCCAUCAAUCGUGAGAAUAGCAAAAUUCUCCUUGGCUAAGAAACGAACCUCAUGCCACUGUCCAUCAUUCAAUCCAGAACCUGGGAGGUGCAAAAUAAAACUUGC
This is a long non-coding RNA of Cavia porcellus (domestic guinea pig), 421 nucleotides long. RefSeq lists it as uncharacterized. The transcript is spliced from 3 exons. NCBI's taxonomy places the organism in Eukaryota, Metazoa, Chordata, Mammalia, Rodentia, Caviidae. The record is from RefSeq and is a predicted model, not a curated record.